This 72-nucleotide transfer RNA is filed under the name Ictidomys tridecemlineatus (thirteen-lined ground squirrel). RNAcentral describes it as "Spermophilus tridecemlineatus (thirteen-lined ground squirrel) tRNA". It matches the Rfam family "tRNA". Rfam says of the family: Transfer RNA (tRNA) molecules are approximately 80 nucleotides in length. Their secondary structure includes four short double-helical elements and three loops (D, anti-codon, and T loops). Further hydrogen bonds mediate the characteristic L-shaped molecular structure. tRNAs have two regions of fundamental functional importance: the anti-codon, which is responsible for specific mRNA codon recognition, and the 3' end, to which the tRNAs corresponding amino acid is attached (by aminoacyl-tRNA synthetases). tRNAs cope with the degeneracy of the genetic code in two manners: having more than one tRNA (with a specific anti-codon) for a particular amino acid; and 'wobble' base-pairing, i.e. permitting non-standard base-pairing at the 3rd anti-codon position. The record is from Rfam by way of RNAcentral. Lineage: Eukaryota; Metazoa; Chordata; Mammalia; Rodentia; Sciuridae.
GGAGUUGUAGCUCAGUGGUAGAGUACUUGCCUAGCACACUUAAGGCCCUGGGUUCAAUCCCCAACAACACAA